UUAAAUUAUUAGAAAAUUUUAUUUGGGAUUAGAUAGUAUAAUUAAAUAAAAAAAUAUAGUAUUUAUAAGUUAAUAGUAAAGUGAUUGAAGGUUAAAAAAGUGAGAAUUUUAAAAAAGUAUUUAGUUUUAAAGUAUCUUGUGUAUCAGAGUUGAUUAAUUUAAUAUUUAUAUUUAAAAAUAUCUCGAAAAAAAAAUAGUUAAAUAGUUAUUUUAGUUAAUGUGGAAAAAUUAUUAAUUAUAAUUAUUUAGCAAUGAAAAGUUAUUUGGUUUUUUAGUUAUCUAGUUUUUAGAGAAAUAAAUUUAAUUUAGAAUAUAUAUAUAUAUAUAUAUUUAAAAUAUUGAGGGAUAAGCUUUAAUAUUUAACGUUAUAUGAUUUAAUUGUAGAAUAAAAUUUAUGUAAUUAGUAUUUUUAAUUAAUUAAAAUUUAUAAUAAAAAUUUUUAUUUUUAAGUUAGAUUUAAUUGGGAAUUAAGUAGUUUAUUUAAAUGACUAUAAAAUAGAGAUAAUAGUGAAAUAAUGAUUAAAUUAGUAUAUAAAUUUUAAUUUUUAGAGAAUUAUGAAUAGAUAAAUUAAGUUAAAGAAUUAGGCAAAAAUUUUAAAAAUAUAUUUACUUGUUUAACAAAAACAUGUCUUAAUGAAAUAUUAAUAUUAAGUCUAGUCUGCCCACUGAAUUUAAUUUAAAGGGCUGCAGGAUUUAUACUGUACAAAGGUAGCAUAAUAAUUAGUUUUUUAAUUGAAAACUAGAAUGAAUGACUGAAUAAGAUAUAAACUUUUUAAAUUUAAUUAAUAUAAAAUUUAAUUUUUUAGUGAAAAAGCUAAAAUAUUAUUAAAAGACGAGAAGACCCUAUAGAUCUUUAUAAUUAUAUAGUAAAGAAUUAUUAUGUAUAUUAUUUAAUUGGGGUGAUUUAAAAAUUGAGUUAAUUUUUUAUUAGUAUUAACAGUGAUGACUGAUAUUUAAAAUUGUAAUUAUUGUAAGAAUUGCAUAAAUAAAUUUAGUUACCUUAGGGAUAACAGCAUAAUUUUAAUUUGAAGAUCUUAUUUAAAUUAAAGAUUGUGACCUCGAUGUUGGAUUAAGAUAAAAUUUAAUUGUAAAUGAUUAAAAUUUAAGUCUGUUCGACUUUUAAAAUCUUACAUGAUCUGAGUUCAGACCGGUGUAAACCAGGUUGGUUUCUAUCUUUAGUGAUUUUUAUAUUUAUAGUACGAAAGGAAUUAAAUUUUAUUUAUUUUUAGGUAAAAAGAAAGGAAUAAAGAUAAAGUUG
This 1258-nucleotide ribosomal RNA is filed under the name Gunungiella wangi. Its description in RNAcentral is "16S ribosomal RNA". The record is from RNAcentral. Lineage: Eukaryota; Metazoa; Arthropoda; Insecta; Trichoptera; Philopotamidae.